GCCGGUAUAGCUCAGUUGGUAGAGCAGGGGUUUUGUAAACCUCAGGUCGGGAGUUCGAGUCUCUCUACCGGCACCA
Molecule: transfer RNA, 76 nt
Filed under: Rhodospirillaceae bacterium
Lineage: Bacteria; Pseudomonadati; Pseudomonadota; Alphaproteobacteria; Rhodospirillales; Rhodospirillaceae
Description: tRNA-Thr
Rfam family: tRNA
About the family: Transfer RNA (tRNA) molecules are approximately 80 nucleotides in length. Their secondary structure includes four short double-helical elements and three loops (D, anti-codon, and T loops). Further hydrogen bonds mediate the characteristic L-shaped molecular structure. tRNAs have two regions of fundamental functional importance: the anti-codon, which is responsible for specific mRNA codon recognition, and the 3' end, to which the tRNAs corresponding amino acid is attached (by aminoacyl-tRNA synthetases). tRNAs cope with the degeneracy of the genetic code in two manners: having more than one tRNA (with a specific anti-codon) for a particular amino acid; and 'wobble' base-pairing, i.e. permitting non-standard base-pairing at the 3rd anti-codon position.
Source: RNAcentral